UCUCUCACAAUUUCGUUCACACAUUUCGUCAUUGCCUUAUCCGAUCCCGAGCUCAGUUGUCUCUUCUUUCUCACCCAAAAAAUCAUCAACAGUCCCCCAACCCAAUAAUCAAAAUGCAACAACCACUACCCAUAUCUUGCCCUCCACUUCUCCACCGCCGCCGCAGCAAAUGGCCACCAAAUUAGGGUUUACUCUGACGGCUCCUCGUCUCUUCAGCGCUCGCUUUCGAAAACCCGUUGCUCUUUUCUCUUCCACUUCACCAUCAUCAUCAUCUUCUUCUUCUAGGGUUCGCUUAGUCUCACUCGUUGAUCGACAGCUGUGUGUUCGACGCAGACUGUUUAUUCUUUCCCCCAAGGCCACUACUGACCAGCCAGGUCAAGUCCAAGAAGACGAGGUGGUUGACAGUAAGAUCUUGCCAUACUGUAGCAUAGACAAGAAAGAGAAGAAGUCAUUGGGCGAGCUUGAACAAGAAUUUCUUCAAGCACUACAAGCUUUUUAUUAUGAGGGAAGGGCUAUAAUGUCAAAUGAGGAAUUUGAUAACCUCAAGGAAGAACUAAUGUGGGAAGGAAGCAGCAUUGUCAUGCUAACUUCUGAUGAACAGAAAUUUCUCGAAGCUUCAAUGGCUUAUGUAGCUGGGACGCGGAUAAUGAGCGAUGAGGAGUACGACAAACUGAAGAUGAAACUAAAGAUGGAUGGGAGUGACAUUGUAGUUGAGGGCCCCCGAUGCAGUCUCCGCAGUAGAAAGGUUUACAGUGACCUGUCUGUUGACUAUUUCAAGAUGUUCCUCUUGAAUGUCCCUGCUGCUCUCAUUGCACUAACAUUGUUUUUCUUCCUGGAUGAUUUGACUGGAUUUGAAAUCACAUAUCUUUUGGAGCUUCCAGAGCCAUUCAGUUUCAUUUUCACAUGGUUUGCUGCGUUACCACUCAUAUUGUGGUUAGCUCUAUCAAUUACAAACUUCUUUGUGAAAGACUUUUUGAUCUUGAGGGUAGGAACCUUGAUGUCAUCAUGGCCCUUGUCCAAAUUGUGGGACAGAAAAUGUCUCCUUCUUUGGGACCAUCCUAUCAAUAUCUAAUUGUGGUUCCGCCAACACUGUUAAAUGCUCAAGCUGUGGAACUGAAAUGGUUUAUGAUUCAAACACACGCUUGAUUACACUGCCUGAUGGAAGUAAAGCUUGAGUGGAGGAUGGAUCCAUGUGAAGGGAUAUAUGAUAUGAGAAGUGCUAGAAUGAGUAAGCAAGUGAGGGUUGCCAAGUUAUGCACCUCUGGGAUCACUAUAUCUGUAAAUGAGGCAUUGAAUAUAGUCUUUCAUUGACUGGUUAUAUGCAACACUAAUUUGUAUUUGGUGUGGCCGCAUGUAUAUAACUUAUUCAAGCUUGUCCACUAGAAGAGGUGAACAGUUGUGUUGGGUUGUUCAAACUAAUAGAAUGUCACAUGCUUUACAUGUAAUAUUGAAGCUGUCCCUCAACAUUUUCAUCUUGA
Molecule: RNA transcript, 1478 nt
Organism: Camellia sinensis
Lineage: Eukaryota; Viridiplantae; Streptophyta; Magnoliopsida; Ericales; Theaceae
Gene name: PGR5-like protein 1A, chloroplastic
Source: RefSeq, a predicted model, not a curated record